GAUCAUUUCAUUGAGAUGCAAAUCUAAGGGCCUGGCAGCUCAGGGAUGUGGUCCGAAAUAGCAAAUGAAAACCAGCAAAACAGUUUAGCCAUAUAGUUAAUGGACUUGAUUGUUCAAAAAUGAAAUUUGAUUUAAUUUCAUGCCUUGGAUGAAUUUUUUAACAGAAUGUUAUGGUCUAUUUUAAAUACUGUUUGCUAAAUGCCUGAUGACGUGUUACAUACAGCUGUCCUAAACAUUUUGCCAGUGUGUUUCGUGAAUAAUCAUUUGCAAGUUUUUAAUUUGUUUGCCUGUUAUUCUGAAGUCAUCAGGAAUUAAUAUCAUUUAAGACUAAAAAUUUACUUAUUUAUUCAUUUUCUAAUGUCAAUCAGCUUUCAUUUGAUUCAAAACAAUAAACUGAUCAUUAAAAAAUGAAA
Molecule: long non-coding RNA, 413 nt
Organism: Rhinichthys klamathensis goyatoka
Lineage: Eukaryota; Metazoa; Chordata; Actinopteri; Cypriniformes; Leuciscidae
Exons: 2
Source: RefSeq, a predicted model, not a curated record